Molecule: ribosomal RNA, 492 nt
Filed under: uncultured bacterium
Lineage: Bacteria
Description: partial 16S ribosomal RNA
Rfam family: Bacterial small subunit ribosomal RNA
Source: RNAcentral
AGUGAACGCUGGCGGUAGGCCUAACACAUGCAAGUCGAACGGCAGCACAGUAAGAGCUUGCUCUUACGGGUGGCGAGUGGCGGACGGGUGAGGAAUACAUCGGAAUCUACUUUUUCGUGGGGGAUAACGUAGGGAAACUUACGCUAAUACCGCAUACGACCUACGGGUGAAAGCAGGGGAUCUUCGGACCUUGCGCGAUUGAAUGAGCCGAUGUCGGAUUAGCUAGUUGGCGGGGUAAAGGCCCACCAAGGCGACGAUCCGUAGCUGGUCUGAGAGGAUGAUCAGCCACACUGGAACUGAGACACGGUCCAGACUCCUACGGGAGGCAGCAGUGGGGAAUAUUGGACAAUGGGCGCAAGCCUGAUCCAGCCAUACCGCGUGAGUGAAGAAGGCCUUCGGGUUGUAAAGCCCUUUUGUUGGGAAAGAAAAGCAGUAGGUUAAUACCCCGCUGUUCUGACGGUACCCAAAGAAUAAGCACCGGCUAACUUCGUG